AUACGUAGGUGACAAGCGUUAUCCGGAUUUACUGGGCGUAAAGGGCGUGUAGGCGGUCUUGCAAGUCAGAAGUGAAAUUCCUGAGCUCAACUCGGGCGCUGCUUCUGAAACUGCAGGACUUGAGUGCUGGAGGGGAUAGCGGAAUUCCUAGUGGAGCGGUAAAAUGCGCAGAUAUUAGGAAGAACACCGGUGGCGAAGGCGGAUAUCUAGCAAGUAACUGACGCUGAGGCGCUAAAGCGUGGGGAGCAAACAGGAUUAUAUUCCCUGGUAGUCCACGCCGUAAACGGUGAAUACUAGGUGUAGGGGGUAUCGACUCCCUCUGUGCCGCAGUUAACACAAUAAGUAUUCCGCCUGGGGAGUACGGCCGCAAGGUUGAAACUCAAAUGAAUUGACGGGG
RNAcentral lists this ribosomal RNA (397 nucleotides) under uncultured bacterium. RNAcentral's name for it is "partial 16S ribosomal RNA". It matches the Rfam family "Bacterial small subunit ribosomal RNA", at positions 523 to 918 of the family's 1533-position model. The record is from RNAcentral.